ACAAACUUGGUCAUUUAGAGGAAGUAAAAGUCGUAACAAGGUUUCCGUAGGUGAACCUGCGGAAGGAUCAUUACUGAAGUUGCUGGGAGAUGUUGCUGGCUUUUUCUUUUUAAAAAAAGCAAUGUGCACUCUUUCAAACUCUCACAAACUUCCUUCUCACCCCCUUGUGCACACUUGGUAGAGGCCUCCCCGAGGGAGAAUUUGUUUUUUGCUACACACACGAGAUUUUGAAUGUACAUGCUUAUGGCAAUAUCAGAAAGAAACAACUUUCAACAAUGGAUCUCUUGGCUCUCGCAUCGAUGAAGAACGCAGC
This 313-nucleotide unclassified non-coding RNA is filed under the name uncultured fungus. RNAcentral's name for it is "partial contains small subunit ribosomal RNA, internal transcribed spacer 1, and 5.8S ribosomal RNA". The stretch from base 1 to 73 matches the Rfam family "Eukaryotic small subunit ribosomal RNA", at positions 1759 to 1831 of the family's 1831-position model. Lineage: Eukaryota; Fungi. The record is from RNAcentral.